UGGGGAAUAUUGGGCAAUGGGCGCAAGCCUGACCCAGCAACGCCGCGUGAAGGAAGAAGGCUUUCGGGUUGUAAACUUCUUUUAAGAGGGAAGAGAAGAAGACGGUACCUCUUGAAUAAGCCACGGCUAACUACGUGCCAGCAGCCGCGGUAAUACGUAGGUGGCAAGCGUUGUCCGGAUUUACUGGGUGUAAAGGGCGUGCAGCCGGGAAGACAAGUCAGAUGUGAAAUCCCGCGGCUCAACCGCGGAACUGCAUUUGAAACUGUUUUUCUUGAGUACCGGAGAGGUCAUCGGAAUUCCUUG
This 303-nucleotide ribosomal RNA is filed under the name uncultured bacterium. RNAcentral's name for it is "bacterial SSU rRNA". It matches the Rfam family "Bacterial small subunit ribosomal RNA", at positions 355 to 673 of the family's 1533-position model. The record is from RNAcentral.